CAGUUACAUUGGAUUCUAGUUGAUUGCAAUAUAGCCGACUGGACUGAAUUGGAAACAAAAUGUGGCAAAAAACCUGUCAUGAACAAGAACAUCUCUGUGUUGCUCUUGUUAUGCUUGGUGACCACAAGGAUCGAGAGCUUCAGUCUUCCAGAGUGUACCGGCUUUGAGGUUGUAUGGG
This is a long non-coding RNA of Nematolebias whitei (Rio pearlfish), 178 nucleotides long. RefSeq lists it as uncharacterized. Lineage: Eukaryota; Metazoa; Chordata; Actinopteri; Cyprinodontiformes; Rivulidae. The transcript is spliced from 4 exons. The record is from RefSeq and is a predicted model, not a curated record.